UGUGAACCACGUACAUCUUGUGUUUGCUUUCCUAUCUCUAUCCAUUUAUAUACUUAUCCACACUAAUGACCGGAGCAAUCUAGCGAAGAUCACAAAAAGUGACCGUUUUCGCUACCUAUGAUCUAUCUUGCAAGAGAACGGAGAAUUAGAUGGAGAUCUCAACCAUAGAAUACAAGCUGGAUGGAUGAAGUGUAAGAGUGUAUCCGGCGUGUUGUG
RNAcentral lists this long non-coding RNA (216 nucleotides) under Malus domestica (apple). RNAcentral's name for it is "long non-coding RNA (MDOM_LNC006266)". The record is from RNAcentral. Lineage: Eukaryota; Viridiplantae; Streptophyta; Magnoliopsida; Rosales; Rosaceae.